RNAcentral lists this unclassified non-coding RNA (244 nucleotides) under Moritella viscosa. RNAcentral's name for it is "putative sRNA". Lineage: Bacteria; Pseudomonadati; Pseudomonadota; Gammaproteobacteria; Alteromonadales; Moritellaceae. The record is from RNAcentral.
AUUAUUAAAAGCCCGAAGGGCGUAUGUUUCAUUUAUUCGUGCUUAAUCAGUUUAUAAUUUAAUCAAUUCAUUAAUAUUAAGCUUAUCUGACUCAUCUGAAUCUUUUUAUUUAAUAUAUAAAACUUCAGCGGCAUGCCCUGGUAUUAUCCUAGAUCUUACUCUCAUUCUCUAACCAGCUGAAUUUGAUAACCUAUGAUUUUCUCCAAACUUAAUAGUAAAACGCUCCAUUUUUCCGAUCACAAAA